RNAcentral lists this ribosomal RNA (480 nucleotides) under uncultured bacterium. RNAcentral describes it as "partial 16S ribosomal RNA". It matches the Rfam family "Bacterial small subunit ribosomal RNA", at positions 28 to 507 of the family's 1533-position model. The record is from RNAcentral.
GAUGAACGCUAGCGGCAGGCCUAACACAUGCAAGUCGAGGGAGAGGUUACCUUCGGGUAACCAAAACCGGCGCACGGGUGCGUAACGCGUAUACAAUCUGCCUUUCACAUAGGGAUAGCCCGAAGAAAUUUGGAUUAAUACCUAAUGGUAUAUAAGAGCGGCAUCGUUUUUAUAUUAAAGCUACGGUGGUGAAAGAUGAGUAUGCGUUCUAUUAGCUAGUUGGAGAGGUAACGGCUCCCCAAGGCGACGAUAGAUAGGAGUUCUGAGAGGGAUGUCCCCCACACUGGUACUGAGAUACGGACCAGACUCCUACGGGAGGCAGCAGUGAGGAAUAUUGGACAAUGGUCGGAAGACUGAUCCAGCCAUGCCGCGUGCAGGAUGAAGGUCCUAUGGAUUGUAAACUGCUUUUGUAAGGGAAGAAUAAGGAGUACGUGUACUUUGAUGACGGUACCUUACGAAUAAGCAUCGGCUAACUCCGUG